RNAcentral lists this ribosomal RNA (447 nucleotides) under uncultured bacterium. Its description in RNAcentral is "bacterial SSU rRNA". It matches the Rfam family "Bacterial small subunit ribosomal RNA", at positions 355 to 825 of the family's 1533-position model. The record is from RNAcentral.
UCGGGAAUUUUGGGCAAUGGGCGAAAGCCUGACCCAGCAACGCCGCGUGAAGGAUGAAGUAUUUCGGUAUGUAAACUUCGAAAGAAUAGGAAGAAUAAAUGACGGUACUAUUUAUAAGGUCCGGCUAACUACGUGCCAGCAGCCGCGGUAAUACGUAGGGACCAAGCGUUGUUCGGAUUUACUGGGCGUAAAGGGCGCGUAGGCGGCAUGACAAGUCACUUGUGAAAUCUCUGGGCUUAACCCAGAACGGCCAAGUGAUACUGUCGCGCUAGAGUGCAGAAGGGGCAAUCGGAAUUCUUGGUGUAGCGGUGAAAUGCGUAGAUAUCAAGAGGAACACCUGAGGUGAAGACGGGUUGCUGGGCUGACACUGACGCUGAGGCGCGAAAGCCAGGGGAGCAAACGGGAUUAGAUACCCCCGUAGUCCCUGAGCGGGCUGGCAAGGCGCAU